This is a long non-coding RNA of Brassica napus (rape), 2269 nucleotides long. RefSeq lists it as uncharacterized. The transcript has 2 exons. Lineage: Eukaryota; Viridiplantae; Streptophyta; Magnoliopsida; Brassicales; Brassicaceae. The record is from RefSeq and is a predicted model, not a curated record.
GAUCCAUCGGAAAGAAAUUAUAUAAUAACAACAAAAAAUAUUUUUUAUAUAUAAAUAAAAUGAUCAAAUACAUAAAAGAAACUAUCGAUAAUAUAUACAAAUAAACUCACACUGCGCAAAACGCAUGUCUUAUCCUAGUUUCUUAUUAUUUCUAGCUUCAACAAAUAAAAAUGCAAUUUUUAGCCAUUAAUUUGAAAAGUAGUAUCAAAUUUAAGAUAAAAAACUAGACUCUUUUUUAAAAAUAUAGACCAUGAAAAUAUCUUGUCUAAAAAUUAAAAUUUAAGCUUUAAAACCUAAAUUUUAACCGUUAAAAUGUUCUCUUACACAGAAUUCAUCGAGUUUAUUACUUCUGCUCGAUAAUUUGAUAAAGUUUGUCAUUAUGAUGAUUAUUUUAUCUAGGUCAAUUUUAGGUUACCAUUGAAAAUUUGAAACUCUACAUUCCCAUUCUAUUCAAAACAUAAAGGCUAAUUUGAAAAGCAGAGACGCGUCUACUUAUUAUUUUAGGAAAGUUUAGAUCUAUUUUGCCAUAAUUUAGAAUAUACUUUUUUUUUGGUUCUUUGAGUAAUUUAAAAAAUACUUUUGAGGAUACGAAUCAUAAAACCGUGUGGACACAUGCAUGUUAUGCAUAUUAAGAAGAAGCAUGUUAUGCAUAUUAAGAAGAAGUAUGAAUGAAACUCAGGGAAAAUAUGAUGAUUUUUUUAAUAGGAAGCCAAUUCUGAAAAAGGGAAAAUAAGAUGAUUCCAAGAAUAUCCCUAAUAAAAUUUGAAAGAUUGGUAAGGAAUUGGAAGAUGACAACUUGAUCCAGCGAAGACCAGAUUAAAUAUAUUAAAAUGUAAGUUGAUCAACUUCUGUAAAUUACUUUUGAUUCAAAGUACACUUAUAGAGAGCUGAGCUCUGUUGUCCCUUCACUGUCUUCUAACUUCUUUUGGACAAUAUAAUAAUUAUUCUGGUUCACAGUGUUAAAUGUAUCCGCUUAUUGUAGCCCAUUGAUUGGGAUAAUGUUUUUCCCUCGUAAUUUUUAUUUCACGAAUCCCCUAUAUUAUUCUAUUGUAUAGUAUAGUAUAGUUAUUUUAUCCAAAAAGAGUAAACCAUUUCUCAAAAGGAGGUAAUUUAAAGUAUAGUAGUAACUAAGAAAAAGACAGCAACCGUAACUGGUGGAGAGAAAGGCAUUGGAAGUUUCUAUUUUACGAACAUAACUUGUUAUAUUAUUAUAUUGAUAUCACACAUCACGAUAAAUAAAAACAUAACAAAAUCGGUGGAUAAAUAUUGAAAACGAGUUUGACUUAGGAUAAGAAUAUAGUACUACUAUUACACACUGCAAUACAGCUAUACAAGUUAUAAACCACACGUCUUUACCACUUGCGUUUACAUACGCUUGAUAUUAUUUUAUUAUGACAUGCUUAUGAUGAUAGUUAUAAAUUGACCAGAUUUAAUUAGCAGUUGGUCUAAAGCGCGCAUGAGCUGGUAAAUGGUAAUACUUCACACUUCUAUUACUUUGCUAUAUAGCACGCAUUUCAUUUGGCUACACUAACAAAUUUAGCAUUACUGGACGUAGUCCUUCGUAUCUGUUUUUGGCAAACAUAUCUUAUGAAAAUUUUAAUUUUCAAUAAUAAUGAGUUUUCUUGCUGAUGGGGAUUCCUCCCACUUAGCAUUUAUUAGGUUUAAUUGCGUGGCCAGAAAACAAUUGUUUAUAUUGUAUGUGUUAUGUGUUAUACUUUAGGAAAAACCAUUUGCAAUAUAUACUAAUAUAUGUGUCAUUAAUAGAGGUACAUGCUUUCUCCUAAACACAGUCUCACUGAAGUAAGGUCUACCACAUGAGAAGGCCUAGUUUUGUAUCUUCUAUUCUCAAUCAUAUAUUCAUGUUUUGGUAUGUAUCUCGUUUAGUAUAAUUUUAUAUUUAUCAAUAAUGCACGACGCUUCUAAGAUUUUUCAGAUGCAAUCGGUGUGGUUCUGUUUUUUAUUUACUGAAGUCAGCAACACUUACAAAUGCCACUUCUUCCCGUCGCAUCCGUUUUCAGGACGAUCUUCUUAGUUCCCAUCGCGUUAACACAGUCUCUUGUGGUUAUUUUUGUCACACUUACAAAGUAAAUAAAACCAGCACAAACAGAAUUGACUUGUACAUGUAGAAAGAGGAAUGUGGGUUUUUAUUACUCCUAAUCUUUAUCUGGACCCUAAAGGAACAUAUGGGUCAUUGGGAGUUCAUGUGGCUGUCUGCGAGUGUCUCCUAGCAACCAAGCAAUUGCAAAAUCAAAAUCAAGGAGAUAUUGAA